GUAUGGUUAAAGGGCAAUCAAUCGGAAGAAACCCGGGUGGGCCCUUUCAAAUCCACGCGGGGCUUGAGCACCCUGCCGCCGCCUGUCCUUCCCUCCAUUCCGGAGAACCGGGUCUCGCGGCGGGUGUCGGAAUCCCGGGAGUCCCUCGCGGGCUCGGUUCCGGUUGGGGUCUGUCGAUUGUUGGCCGCUGGCGAACGUUUUCGAAUCAGAUUUCCAGGGGGAAAGUCGGCUCCGGAAGCCGCUGCUCGUCAGCGUGUCUGGGGCCGUGAUCCUCCAUCGGAGGGACCGAUGCGGCAGACGGGCUCCCCCUCGCGGGUUGGAGCCCGGCCCUGCCGCGGACCGUCCUCUGAAAAUCUCAGUGGGGGCAAUUGAAUACCGUCCGGAUGUCCAACGCGGUGCGCCGCCUGGUCGUCCCCGGUGAGUUUCUGUAACCGGGAACUCCUUCCGUUUAGCUACUUCCUGUCCCCUCC
RNAcentral lists this unclassified non-coding RNA (470 nucleotides) under Blastomyces dermatitidis. Lineage: Eukaryota; Fungi; Ascomycota; Eurotiomycetes; Onygenales; Ajellomycetaceae. The record is from RNAcentral.